This 450-nucleotide ribosomal RNA is filed under the name uncultured Thiotrichales bacterium. Its description in RNAcentral is "bacterial SSU rRNA". It matches the Rfam family "Bacterial small subunit ribosomal RNA", at positions 1077 to 1532 of the family's 1533-position model. Lineage: Bacteria; Pseudomonadati; Pseudomonadota; Gammaproteobacteria; Thiotrichales. The record is from RNAcentral.
UGGGUAGUCCGUACGAGCGCACCCUAUCCUUAGCUGCCAGCGAGUAUGUCGGGAGCUCUAGGGAGACUGCCGGUGACAAACCGGAGGAAGGUGGGGACGACGUCAAGUCAUCAUGGCCCUUAUGGGCAGGGCUACACACGUGCUACAAUGGCCGGCACAGAGGGCUGCGAAGUCGCAAGGCGGAGCGAAUCUCAGAAAACCGGUCGUAGUCCGGAUUGCAGUCUGCAACUCGACUGCAUGAAGUUGGAAUCGCUAGUAAUCGCGGAUCAGAAUGCCGCGGUGAAUACGUUCCCGGGCCUUGUACACACCGCCCGUCACACCAUGGGAGUGGGCUGUACCAGAAGUAGGUAGUCUAACCUUCGGGGGGACGCUUACCACGGUGUGGUUCAUGACUGGGGUGAAGUCGUAACAAGGUAGCCCUAGGGGAACCUGGGGCUGGAUCACCUCCUU